UACGGAGGGGGCGAGCGUUAUUCGGAAUUAUUGGGCGUAAAGGGCGCGUAGGCGGCCCGGUAAGUCAAAGGUGAAAUCCCUCGGCUCAACUGAGGAACUGCCUUUGAAACUGCUGGGCUUGAGUCCGGGAGGGGGUAGCGGAAUUCCCAGUGUAGCGGUGAAAUGCGUAGAUAUUCGCAAGAACACCAGUGGCGAAGGCGGCUCACUGGCCCGAUACUGACGCUGAGGCACGAAAGCGUGGGGAGCAAACAGG
RNAcentral lists this ribosomal RNA (253 nucleotides) under uncultured bacterium. RNAcentral's name for it is "partial 16S ribosomal RNA". It matches the Rfam family "Bacterial small subunit ribosomal RNA", at positions 524 to 776 of the family's 1533-position model. The record is from RNAcentral.